AAAGUUUUGGAGUCACCUGC
RNAcentral lists this microRNA (20 nucleotides) under Echinococcus granulosus. Its description in RNAcentral is "egr-miR-10450-5p". Lineage: Eukaryota; Metazoa; Platyhelminthes; Cestoda; Cyclophyllidea; Taeniidae. The record is from miRBase by way of RNAcentral.